UGUUGUACAGAUGUUACAUUUUGUGUAUAUGAUAAAAUAGUCCCAUCAUGUGCAACAGU
RNAcentral lists this microRNA precursor (59 nucleotides) under Vombatus ursinus (common wombat). Its description in RNAcentral is "miRNA (ENSVURG00010021012.1)". Lineage: Eukaryota; Metazoa; Chordata; Mammalia; Diprotodontia; Vombatidae. The record is from RNAcentral.